This 468-nucleotide ribosomal RNA is filed under the name uncultured bacterium. Its description in RNAcentral is "partial 16S ribosomal RNA". It matches the Rfam family "Bacterial small subunit ribosomal RNA", at positions 28 to 507 of the family's 1533-position model. The record is from RNAcentral.
GACGAACGCUGGCGGCGUGCUUAACACAUGCAAGUCGAACGGAAAGGCCCUGCUUUUGUGGGUUGCUCGAGUGGCGAACGGGUGAGUAACACGUGAGUAACCUGCCCUUGACUUUGGGAUAACUUCAGGAAACUGGGGCUAAUACCGGAUAGGAUCUCCUGCUGCAUGGUGGUGGUUGGAAAGUUUCGGCGGUUGGGGAUGGUCUCGCGGCUUAUGAGCUUGUUUGUGGGGUAGUUGCUGACCAAGGCUUUGACGGGUAGCCGGCAUGAGAGGGUGACCGGCGUCAUUGGGACUGAGAGACGGCCCAGACGCCUACGGGAGGCAGCAGGGGGGAGUAUUGCAGAAUGGGCGGAAGCCUGAGGCAGCAAUGCCGGGUGCGGGAUGACGGCCUUUGGGUGGUAAACCGAUUUCGAAUGUGACGAAGAGUGAGUGACGGUAAUGGGUAAAGAAGCAACGGCUAACUACGUG